UCGCAAUUGGCGGGCGGUCUACACAUGCAAGUCGAGCGGCAGCGGGGAAAGUAGCUUGCUACUUUUGCCGGCGAGCGGCGGACGGGUGAGUAAUGCCUGGGAAAUUGCCCAGUCGAGGGGGAUAACAGUUGGAAACGACUGCUAAUACCGCAUACGCCCUACGGGGGAAAGCAGGGGACCUUCCUUGCGCGAUUGGAUAUGCCCAGGUGGGAUUAGCUAGUUGGUGAGGUAAUGGCUCACCAAGGCGACGAUCCCUAGCUGGUCUGAGAGGAUGAUCAGCCACACUGGAACUGAGACACGGUCCAGACUCCUACGGGAGGCAGCAGUGGGGAAUAUUGCAAACCCUGAUGCAGCCAUGCCGCGUGUGUGAAGAAGGCCUUCGGGUUGUAAAGCACUUUCAGCGAGGAGGAAAGGUUGAUGCCUAAUACGUAUCAACUGUGACGUUACUCGCAGAAGAAGCACCGGCUAACUCCGUG
RNAcentral lists this ribosomal RNA (476 nucleotides) under Aeromonas hydrophila. RNAcentral describes it as "bacterial SSU rRNA". It matches the Rfam family "Bacterial small subunit ribosomal RNA", at positions 37 to 507 of the family's 1533-position model. The record is from RNAcentral. Lineage: Bacteria; Pseudomonadati; Pseudomonadota; Gammaproteobacteria; Aeromonadales; Aeromonadaceae.